This is a small nuclear RNA of Brienomyrus brachyistius, 163 nucleotides long. RefSeq annotates it as U1 spliceosomal RNA. Lineage: Eukaryota; Metazoa; Chordata; Actinopteri; Osteoglossiformes; Mormyridae. The transcript has a single exon. The record is from RefSeq and is a predicted model, not a curated record.
AUAUUUACCUGGCAGGAAAGAUAGUAUGUUCACAAAGGUUGUUCACCCAGGUUGAGGUUUGGCCAUUGCUCUCCUGUACUGACCCAUGCAAAUUCCCCAAAUGUUGGAUUCUCGACUGCAUAAUUUUUGGUAGUUGGAAGCUACAUUUCAUUUCAUCUUCCAU